RNAcentral lists this ribosomal RNA (560 nucleotides) under Massilia agri. Its description in RNAcentral is "bacterial SSU rRNA". It matches the Rfam family "Bacterial small subunit ribosomal RNA", at positions 365 to 917 of the family's 1533-position model. The record is from RNAcentral. Lineage: Bacteria; Pseudomonadati; Pseudomonadota; Betaproteobacteria; Burkholderiales; Oxalobacteraceae.
UGCAUCGCUGGGCGCAGCCUGAUCCAGCAAUGCCGCGUGAGUGAAGAAGGCCUUCGGGUUGUAAAGCUCUUUUGUCAGGGAAGAAACGGCUGCGGCUAAUAUCCGCGGCUAAUGACGGUACCUGAAGAAUAAGCACCGGCUAACUACGUGCCAGCAGCCGCGGUAAUACGUAGGGUGCAAGCGUUAAUCGGAAUUACUGGGCGUAAAGCGUGCGCAGGCGGUUUUGUAAGUCUGACGUGAAAGCCCCGGGCUCAACCUGGGAAUUGCGUUGGAGACUGCAAGGCUUGAAUCUGGCAGAGGGGGGUAGAAUUCCACGUGUAGCAGUGAAAUGCGUAGAGAUGUGGAGGAACACCGAUGGCGAAGGCAGCCCCCUGGGUCAAGAUUGACGCUCAUGCACGAAAGCGUGGGGAGCAAACAGGAUUAGAUACCCUGGUAGUCCACGCCCUAAACGAUGUCUACUAGUUGUCGGGUUUUAAUUAACUUGGUAACGCAGCUAACGCGUGAAGUAGACCGCCUGGGGAGUACGGUCGCAAGAUUAAAACUCAAUGAAAUUUGACGGA